AUUAAUUCGAUGCAACGCGAAAAACCUUACCUACCCUUGACAUGUCUGGAAUCCUGAAGAGAUUUAGGAGUGCUCGCAAGAGAACCGGAACACAGGUGCUGCAUGGCUGUCGUCAGCUCGUGUCGUGAGAUGUUGGGUUAAGUCCCGCAACGAGCGCAACCCUUGUCAUUAGUUGCUACGAAAGGGCACUCUAAUGAGACUGCCGGUGACAAACCGGAGGAAGGUGGGGAUGACGUCAAGUCCUCAUGGCCCUUAUGGGUAGGGCUUCACACGUCAUACAAUGGUCGGGACAGAGGGUUGCCAACCCGCGAGGGGGAGCCAAUCUCAGAAACCCGAUCGUAGUCCGGAUUGCAGGCUGCAACUCGCCUGCAUGAAGUCGGAAUCGCUAGUAAUCGCGGAUCAGCAUGUCGCGGUGAAUACGUUCCCGGGUCUUGUACACACCGCCCGUCACACCAUGGGAGUGGGUUUCACCAGAAGUAGGUAGCCUAACCGCAAGGAGGGCGCUACCACGUGAUCG
This 517-nucleotide ribosomal RNA is filed under the name uncultured Pusillimonas sp. RNAcentral describes it as "bacterial SSU rRNA". It matches the Rfam family "Bacterial small subunit ribosomal RNA", at positions 945 to 1468 of the family's 1533-position model. The record is from RNAcentral. Lineage: Bacteria; Pseudomonadati; Pseudomonadota; Betaproteobacteria; Burkholderiales; Alcaligenaceae.